AGUCGCCGUAAGGCACUGAGGAGGCCGAGAGAUGAGGCCAGAGCCCACCAAGUUCUGGGAAGGUCUUUCUGACACAAGUAAGAUAACAUCUCUGCCAUGACCUUGCUCCUCUGCUUACACUGGAGUCAUCUUUCUUUUGCUUGAAGAAUAUCCGUUAGGAUUUGCUGUAAUAUGUAAUUCCUCAAGAAUAUUUUUGCUGAGUAUCCUUUAUACAUUUAUACUUAGAAUACUUUGCAAGUAUCAAGAUGUGGAUGGCGGCCAGGUGCAGUGGCUCAUGCCUGUAGUCCCAGCACUUUGGGAGGCUGAGAUGGGUGGAUCACUUGAGCUCAGGAGUUCAAGACCAGCCUGGCCAACAUGGUGAAACCCCGUUUCUACUAAAAGUACAAAAAUUAGCCGCGCAUGUGGCGUGCACCUGUAAUCCCAGCUUCUCAGGCGGCUGAAGCAGGAGAAUCGCUUGAACCCAGGAGAUGGAGGUUGCAGUGAACAGAGAUCACGCCACUGGAGUCUUACUCACUCCAGCCUGGGCAACAGACCCACAGGUGCUGAGAACAAGAGAAAUCAAGUGAAGGAAGGAGGCGGAGUUU
This 584-nucleotide small RNA is filed under the name Pan troglodytes (chimpanzee). RNAcentral's name for it is "processed transcript". The record is from RNAcentral. Lineage: Eukaryota; Metazoa; Chordata; Mammalia; Primates; Hominidae.